Molecule: small RNA, 3673 nt
Filed under: Caenorhabditis elegans
Lineage: Eukaryota; Metazoa; Nematoda; Chromadorea; Rhabditida; Rhabditidae
Description: Unclassified non-coding RNA C28D4.19
Source: RNAcentral
GUAGCAUACGACAAUAAUGGAAAAGUGAUUGGAUUUGGAAAUGUGAUCAUCUAUCCAUCUGGUGAAUGUGUAUUGACUCCACUAUAUGCUGAUGAUAGUAAAGUGGCUCAGGCAAUAUUCAAAAGCAUUUUAAAAGAAAUUCCACUCAAUGACAAGAAGCUUUUGAGAUUCCAAAUAAGAUCAAUCGAUCAAUGUGAAGGAGGAUUUGAGUUAGUUUUUGUUUUAUGAUAUCUCAAUUUUCAUUUUAUUUUUAGAUGGAUUCAACCCUUUGUUAAAAACCCAAUAAGAAAGGAAAUCAUGGGAUACAUGGCUGGUUCUUCUCAUCCUCCAACCGUCAAUUACAAGAAAACUUAUGCGAACACGCCGUACACGACCUGCGUAAUUUGAGCGGAAAACGAUUGAUCUGGAGAUAUUGUAUGAGUCCGAUAAAACGAUUUGAACAAAACCCAUUAAGAAUUUAUUUUUGAUUUUUGUGGAGAUCAGACAAAGUCCAGGAAACGCAUUAAAUAAGCUUUGUGCUCUUUAGAAAAUUGAUCCUAUCAAAGACGGACUGAGUCAAAAUUUAUCAGUGAAACAAAGAUUUCGGAAACGUACACGAGGAGAGUCAUCAUUCACGUGUUGGGUAGAAAACCAAAUUGAGAUGUGAAUCCUGUGUAGGUGCAUGAUUAAAGACAACAGACAAGGCCUGAUCGCUAUAGAAACUUUUUGAAAAGAUGGUCUCAUCCAAACUUGUUUAUUUUAAGCAAAAACCAGGAAGCAAUCAAAAUGAACGUUUUAGAUGGCAAUUAUGUAGGUCAAAAAGAAUCACAAAAAAAGUAAACGGGUAUUAAAUAAUUGCGUGUUCGAAAAAUUGAUCUAAAUAUAUAAUACAAACCAUAGUCUCAAUUGAUUAAUUUUUAAAACUGUUUCUAACGUGACAUGUAGAACCUUCGGAGACCUUACGUGUUCGACUAACCUUUAACAGUUCCAAUUUCUGUUCAAUUAAAAAAACUAGAUUUGCAAAAAUCUACUUAAAUGCUCUCUAAAUCCCUAGCCAUUGGCCGUAAGCUCACGAAGAUUUCUUCAUCAGUGAAGUCAAUCAGUUCCAUCACAUUCAAGACUGUUGAUGGAAAACCAAGAGAUGCACUGACAAUUCAUAAUGUAGAUUUUGUAAUUGAUCCUGAUGAGAAGAUGGUUGAUGAGUACAUGAAAGUGGUAAGACAUUUUCAAGUUGCACAAGUGCAGUUAAAUAUAAUGUUUCAGUACGGAAAUCAGCGGUUGAACUUCAAGAGGAAUGAUAUUGAUAUUUGGAGAAAAUCUUUCAAAGAUAGUUACUCUCUGUGGCUUGUAUGUCUGAAAGGAACUAACAAGAUAGUCCAAAUGUCACAUGUAUUGAAUUUCCCACCAUUGCCUUCUCACAAUGAUAUUCUCCAUCAGUAUCAUGGAUUUUUCUGGAUUGAUCCCGAUUAUCGUGGAAAGGAUAGUAUGGAAAUUAUGGACUACAUAGAAAAACUCAGAGCUCGAAAUCAAUCGGAUAAUAAUGUCGGCACGUAUUUGCCACCAGCGGCUAACAUGAUCAAAAAAAUAUAUGGAACUAAUAAUUACCAGCAUAUCAUGUACGUUUCCUAUUACAAGCCAGAUGAGAUGCAGAUUCCUGAAGACUUGAAUCUUGAUGGAAUAUUCCUUAAAAAUGCAACGGAGGUACCAGAUAUGGAUAUUGUGAAAUAUGAUAACACUGUGUUUCCAUAUGAAAGAUCCAAGUACAUGUUAAAUCUUCUUAGAGAUCCUGAAGGUUUUGGAAAGGUUUGUUUCAAAAGUUGAGUUUUAUCAAUUGAACAUCUUUAGGUAGCAUACGACAAUAAUGGAAAAGUGAUUGGAUUUGGAAAUGUGAUCAUCUAUCCAUCUGGUGAAUGUGUAUUGACUCCACUAUAUGCUGAUGAUAGUAAAGUGGCUCAGGCGAUAUUCAAAAGCAUUUUAAAAGAAAUUCCACUCAAUGGCAAGAAGGAACAUAGAUUCCAAAUUAGAUCAAUCGAUCAAUGUGACGGGGGAUUUGAGUAUAAAUCAGUAUUAUGACAUCUCAAUUAGAAUUGCUUUUUAGAUGGAUCCAGCCCUUUGUCAGAAGACCGAUAAGAAAGGAAAUCAUGGGAUACAUGUGUGGCAUUCCUCAUCAUCCGACCGUCAACUACAAGAAAACUUAUUCAAAUACACCAUAUACCACCUGCGCAAUUUGAUACAAGUGAUAAAACUAUUUUUUAAUUCUUUACAAUUUUUGUUGCCUUUUUUGCUGAGAGCAGACAUAGUUUCUCCAAGAAACACACUGAAGAAAGUGAGCAGAAGUGAAUUGUAUCUUUAAAGACUGGGAUUUUUGUCUAUGUUCUUCAGAAAAUUAAUCCCAUGUAAGAUUGGCAGAUAUCCGAGACAAGAUAGAAGUGAUACGUGGACUCAGGGUUCGUGCACGAGAAAAGUCAGUAUUCAUCCGAUAUGAAAACCGAAAUGAACUGGAUCCUGCACGACAAAACCAAGAAAGACUGAACAGAAAAUGUGUGCAGAAACGUGUUCCAAAGAUGGUCUUACUCGAACAUGCAUAUUUGAAUCGAAAACUAGGAAGCAAUCAAAAUGAACAAGUGCAACUAGAUCAAAAAUAAUCACUGAAAAAUUGAACGGAUAACAGAGAAUUGCUUGAUCCAAAAACGUUUUUUGAACGAUACAAUACCAACAAAUCAUAUGCAGCCAGUUCCAAGUGAUUAGUGUUUAGAAUGUUUAUAAGAUUUUGAGAUUUUAGAAUAGUUUCCCACGUGUAGAACCUUCGAAGACCUUGCGUGUUCGGUUAACCUUUUUUAUUUUACUUUUAUGUUUUCGAUUUUUCCGAUUAAUUCAUAAAACUAGACUUGCCCAAUUCGACUUGAAUGCUCUUCAAAUCUCUUGGCCGCCAUCUCACGAAAGUUUCUUCGAAUAGUGCCAGUUCACUCAGGACAAUCAAGUACAAAACUGUGGAUGGAAAACCAAGAGAUACACUUACACUUCAAAAUGUUGAUUUUAUAAUCAAUCCUGAUGAGAAAAUGAUUGAUGAGUAUAUGAAAGUGGUAAGUCAUUUUCAGGAGUUGCGAGAAGUCUGGCAUAAAGACUACAUUGAGAAGUUGAAAAUGUUCAUUUGUUUUAAUUUAAUCAUAUAUGAGCUCAGAUGCAUUUCAGUACGGAAAUCAACGUUUGAACUUCAAAAGAAACGACAUUUCAAUGUGGAUGAAGUCAUUUGAAGGCCGUUAUGCUCUGUGGUUUACUUGCCCAAAGGGAACUAACAAAAUAAUUCAAACAUCCCACGUCAUCACCUUCCCACCGAUACCAUCAAACAAUGACACAAAUCAUCAAUAUCGUGGAAUGUUUUGGAUUGAUGCAGAUUAUCGUGGAGUUGAUAGCAUGAUAUUGACUGAUUAUAUUGAGAAGCUCAGAAUUCGUAAUCAAUCAGAUAAUGCUGUUGCUCAAUGCAUGCCUACUUCGAUGAACUUAUGGAAGAAAAUGCAUGGACAAAAUGAUGCUGGACAUAUUCAGAAUGUUUCAUAUUACAAGCCAGAUGAGAUGCAGGUUCCUGACGACUUGAAUCUUGAUGGAAUAUUCCUUAAAAAUGCAACGGAGGCACCAAAUAUGUAUAUUGUGAAACUGUUAAAUCUUCUUAGAGAUCCUGAAGGUUUUGGAAAGG